Molecule: long non-coding RNA, 421 nt
Organism: Mus musculus (house mouse)
Lineage: Eukaryota; Metazoa; Chordata; Mammalia; Rodentia; Muridae
Product: predicted gene, 52819
Exons: 3
Source: RefSeq, a predicted model, not a curated record
UGGAGAAAUGGUAUGACUCAGGAGGUAACACAACACUCCACUUUCUCAGGCAGGUGUUAUAAAGGGAUGCUUCAGUGCUUGCUGAGCCAGAGAGCAAAGGGCUCUUUAGCAUGUGGCCCAUCACUGAACUUUCCAUGGCAACAGGAUCAGGCGCAACCAAGGCACAGGACACUGACUGCCAUCAGUGGUACACUGAGAAACUAGCCACGAUGUUGAAGAGUCCUCCGUGUCUCUUGCCAGGUCCUUGAUCUCAGUAGUUUGCCAUAAUCAACCUAAAAGAGAGAUGAUGGAUGGCCCAAGAAAAAGCUGAUUUUUCAUGUCACCAUGUUACUAUAAAAUGGCAAUGGGAGAAGGUCUGUAAUUCCUUUCUCAAACACAACUCCUGACCCAGAUACAGUAAUGUGGCGUGAUUCACAAGUCA